This is an unclassified non-coding RNA of Papio anubis (olive baboon), 148 nucleotides long. It matches the Rfam family "Metazoan signal recognition particle RNA". Rfam says of the family: The signal recognition particle (SRP) is a universally conserved ribonucleoprotein. The record is from Ensembl. NCBI's taxonomy places the organism in Eukaryota, Metazoa, Chordata, Mammalia, Primates, Cercopithecidae.
GCUGGGCGUGGUGGCGCAUGCCUGUAGUCCCAGCUACUCAGGAGGCUGAGGUGGGAGGAUCACUUGAGCCCGGGAGGUCAAGGCUGCAGUGAGCCAUGAUCACACCACUGCACCCCAGCCUGGGUGACAGAGUGAGACCUUGUCUCAA